GCUUCCAUAGCUCAGUUGGUUAGAGCGUCGUACUAAUACUUCAUUCCGAGUGUUCGGUAAAUGCGAAGGUCUCAGGUUCAAGCCCUGGUGGGAGCA
RNAcentral lists this transfer RNA (96 nucleotides) under Fusarium poae. RNAcentral's name for it is "tRNA-Ile". It matches the Rfam family "tRNA". From Rfam's summary of the family: Transfer RNA (tRNA) molecules are approximately 80 nucleotides in length. Their secondary structure includes four short double-helical elements and three loops (D, anti-codon, and T loops). Lineage: Eukaryota; Fungi; Ascomycota; Sordariomycetes; Hypocreales; Nectriaceae. The record is from RNAcentral.